CGAUCAUUGGAAGCAAUCUUCACUGGCACAAGGAUCUCCUCACAGCAACCUCCACUACGAUAGAAACCGACAAUGAGUUUACGAAGGCUUCGAGUAGUGCGGGAUAGGCUAAUCACCAGACUGCUCUGGAAUAGGUUAAUCGCUGGAGACAAGAACGAGUGAAUCUAGUUUCGAGAGCAUGCCUUACUCUAAUAGGGGGCGUAGAGUUUCUAAGUGAAGGCAAGCGCAACUAUAUAUGUAAUAUCCUAGCUGUCAGCAAGGCAGGUCCGCUAUAAAGCCUACCGGCCAGAAAGUCCUUAAGAACGAGAAAGCCGACUAAAAGGCUAUUCCAUAACCGACUCUUGUUGCCGAGUCGAGGGGGCUUGGCUGGUACCAGGCUCUAAAAGAGUUUUCUUCGAGCGAGCGGUCUUUCUAUCUUUUUGGGUUGCAUGCCCAAGGCAAUGCUUUUUGUAGAUUGAGAUGGAUUGAUCUUCGCUAUCGUGCCUCCUCCUUGUACCAGUUGAUGCUGGGGCAGUGCUUAAUAUGAGUUUUCUCCUGCCCCAGACAGCUUCGAGGUUCCCAUCGAUCGAUUACAGAGGUUUCUACCACUGAACUUGCUUAUG
This 602-nucleotide long non-coding RNA is filed under the name Nicotiana benthamiana. RNAcentral describes it as "long non-coding RNA (NBEN_LNC008055)". The record is from RNAcentral. Lineage: Eukaryota; Viridiplantae; Streptophyta; Magnoliopsida; Solanales; Solanaceae.